UGAAGCGUAAACCGUAACUGGUAGCGGGCCGGAUUGUAGCUCCGGUGCGAAAGCUCUGGGGGUUCGAGUCCCUCCGCUUCAACCC
RNAcentral lists this transfer RNA (85 nucleotides) under Spirosoma sp. 48-14. RNAcentral describes it as "tRNA-Tyr". It matches the Rfam family "tRNA". Rfam says of the family: Transfer RNA (tRNA) molecules are approximately 80 nucleotides in length. The record is from RNAcentral. Lineage: Bacteria; Pseudomonadati; Bacteroidota; Cytophagia; Cytophagales; Cytophagaceae.